RNAcentral lists this ribosomal RNA (445 nucleotides) under uncultured bacterium. RNAcentral describes it as "partial 16S ribosomal RNA". It matches the Rfam family "Bacterial small subunit ribosomal RNA", at positions 354 to 796 of the family's 1533-position model. The record is from RNAcentral.
GUGAGGAAUAUUGGACAAUGGAUGGAAAUCUGAUCCAGCCAUGCCGCGUGCAGGAAGACGGCCCUAUGGGUUGUAAACUGCUUUUAUACGGGAGCAAUAAGGUCUAUGCAUAGAUUGAUGAGAGUACCGUAUGAAUAAGCAUCGGCUAACUCCGUGCCAGCAGCCGCGGUAAUACGGAGGAUGCGAGCGUUAUCCGAAUUUAUUGGGUUUAAAGGGUGCGUAGGCGGCUUUGUAAGUCAGCGGUGAAAUUUUGCAGCUUAACUGUAAAAGCGCCGUUGAUACUGUGAAGCUAGGAUUUGGUUGCUGUGGGCGGAAUGUGUGGUGUAGCGGUGAAAUGCAUAGAGAUCACACAGAAUAUCGAUUGCGAAGGCAGCUCACAAAGCCAAUAUUGACGCUGAGGCACGAAAGUGUGGGGAUCAAACAGGAUUAGAAACCCCGGUAGUCC